This 464-nucleotide ribosomal RNA is filed under the name uncultured bacterium. RNAcentral describes it as "partial 16S ribosomal RNA". It matches the Rfam family "Bacterial small subunit ribosomal RNA", at positions 341 to 795 of the family's 1533-position model. The record is from RNAcentral.
AAGAUGGAGGCAGAAGAAGGGAAGGGGAGGAAAGGGGAGCAAGCCUGAACGAGCGAGGCAGCGUGAGUGAAGAAGGCCGGCGGGGCGUAAAGCUCUGUUGCGGGGGAAAAAAGGCAGCAUCAGGAAAUGGGUGCUGACUGAUGGUGCCCCGCCAGAAAGUCACGGCUAACUACGUGCCAGCAGCCGCGGUAAUACGUAGGUGGCGAGCGUUAUCCGGAAUGAUUGGGCGUAAAGGGUGCGCAGGCGGUCCUGCACGUCUGGAGUGAAACGCAUGAGCUCAACUCAUGCAUGGCUUUGGAAACUGGAGGACUGGAGAGCAGGAGAGGGCGGUGGAACGCCAUGUGUAGCGGUAAAAUGCGUAGAGAUAUGGAAGAACACCAGUGGCGAAGGCGGCCGCCUGGCCUGUUGCUGACGCUGAGGCACGAAAGCGUGGGGAGCAAAUAGGAUUAGAUACCCGUGUAGUC